AUGAACGCUGGCGGCGUGCUUAAGACAUGCAAGUCGUACGAGAAAGUAGCAAUAUGAGUACAGUGGCGCACGGGUGAGUAGUACUUGGGUAACGUGCCCUCCUGCGGGGGAUAACCAGGCGAAAGCUUGGCUAAUACCGCAUAGUGCGGACAGAACUUCGGUUUUGUUCGUUAAAGCCGUAAGGCGCGGGAGGAGCGACCCCAGGCCUAUUAGCUAGUUGGUAAGGUAACGGCUUACCAAGGCUUUGAUGGGUAGCUGGUCUGAGAGGAUGAUCAGCCACACUGGUACUGGAACACGGACCAGACUCCUACGGGAGGCAGCAGUUAGGAAUUUUGCGCAAUGGGGGGAACCCUGACGCAGCAACGCCGCGUGAGUGAUGAAGGCCUUCGGGUUGUAAAGCUCUUUUAGUCGGGACGAAAUAAAUGACGGUACCGACAGAAACAGCACCGGCUAACUCCGU
RNAcentral lists this ribosomal RNA (460 nucleotides) under uncultured bacterium. Its description in RNAcentral is "partial 16S ribosomal RNA". It matches the Rfam family "Bacterial small subunit ribosomal RNA", at positions 29 to 506 of the family's 1533-position model. The record is from RNAcentral.